UUGGAGGGCAAGUCUGGUGCCAGCAGCCGCGGUAAUUCCAGCUCCAAUAGCGUAUAUUAAAGUUGCUGCAGUUAAAAAGCUCGUAGUUGAAUUUCGGGACCAAUAUGUCGGUCGUGCCUCGGUACGUACUGGCAUCGUUGGUUUCUCCCUUCUGACGAACCAUGAUGUCAUUUAUUUGGUGUCGUGGGGAAUCAGGACUGUUACUUUGAAAAAAUUAGAGUGUUUAAAGCAGGCUCACGCUUGAAUACAUUAGCAUGGAAUAAUGAAAUAGGACGUUUGAUUCUAUUUUGUUGGUUUCUAGGAUCGACGUAAUGAUUAAUAGGGAUAGUUGGGGGCAUUAGUAUUCAAUUGUCAGAGGUGAAAUUCUUGGAUUUAUUGAAGACUAACUACUGCGAAAGCAUUUGCCAAGGAUGUUUUCAUUAAUCAAGAACGAAAGUUAGGGGAUCGAAGACGAUCAGAUACCGUCGUAGUCUUAACCAUAAACUAUGCCGACUAGGGAUCGGAUGAUGUUAAUUUUUUAAUGACUCAUUCGGCGCCUUACGGGAAAC
This 548-nucleotide ribosomal RNA is filed under the name Glomus sp. VeGlo18. Its description in RNAcentral is "SSU rRNA". It matches the Rfam family "Eukaryotic small subunit ribosomal RNA", at positions 548 to 1098 of the family's 1831-position model. Lineage: Eukaryota; Fungi; Glomeromycota; Glomeromycetes; Glomerales; Glomeraceae. RNAcentral also lists the same sequence under 2 other names. The record is from RNAcentral.